Molecule: long non-coding RNA, 1092 nt
Filed under: Homo sapiens (human)
Lineage: Eukaryota; Metazoa; Chordata; Mammalia; Primates; Hominidae
Description: HSALNT0075494
Source: RNAcentral
GCAAAAUGAAUUUGUCUCCGAUGAAGUUGAGGCAUAUUUUCACUGGGACUAACAGAGAAGUCAUCAUGAUUCCACACACAGUAUUCCCUUGACUGGUAACAGAGUUGGAAACUGAAGGAGUUCACAACUGAGAAGGAAGAAGAAAGACACCAAAUAACACCAAACCAGAUGUGCUCUGAGAAGUGCUAGUCUACAGAAACAGCAGAAGAGGGGUGAAAGCCAAGUGGGGCAUCUGAAAAACCUUGUGGGACAGUUGAGAUAUGAGAUUUAGGAUGUUGUGGCUAGAAAUAUGGGAACAGGGCAUACAGAGGAGAAGCAGAUGAGUGAUGCCAGCCAAACUAUGUGCGGUCUAGGGAGAAGGAAGAGGUCAGCUGGACCCUGAGAAGCUGGAGCAUGGAUUGUGGCAUUGUCAAUUGGGUCAAAGAGAUAACCUAGGAAUAGAGUGGAGAAACUCAUGUCCUUAUCUAAUGAAGCUGUAUUUUUCCCAAAUACCAGAAAAGAAUGAAACAUAAAAGCAUGUGAUUCCUUCUAAUCAUCUAACUCUUUCCUGAAAGCGAGGAAUAGCUAAACAAAAGCAAUAACAAUAACAAGAACAAUAUAGUCCUUCCUUCACGGAUUCCACACACAUUUUCAGUGGAAAAACUGAUUCCUAGUAAGUGAUGCAAUGGACCAAGAGUCAGUAGAACCAAGGUCUAGCUGUGGUAACUUAAAUUGUUCACAACAUAACUUUGGGUCAAUCUGGGUAACAGUUUCCUUAGCAAUAAUGCCAGUCAGCUGGAUUUGCAGAAAGAGCCUGCUGAAUCCCACCAUUUCUAUGGCGUUGUCUCAGAGAAGGUCCCAGAGGAAAGAGCCCCUGCCUGGAACCUGAUGGUCCUGUGACAGAGAGAAAAAAUUGAUGGCAAAACUAUACAAUGGCUCUGUGAGCUUCUACAUACAUUUCAUUGUAAACAAAACAAAUGGCCAAGCAAAACAAAUGGCCAAGCCUGGCGUUAAUGGAGUAGGAGGUCUAAUUCCUAGAUCUCCAAAACAUAUCAGCAAGUAUUUUGAACAAAGAAUACAAUCUACCACACCAUCAUUAAAGGUACACCAAAA